AACGCGAAGAACCUUACCUGGGUUUGACAUGCACAGGACGCCGGCAGAGAUGUCGGUUCCCUUGUGGCCUGUGUGCAGGUGGUGCAUGGCUGUCGUCAGCUCGUGUCGUGAGAUGUUGGGUUAAGUCCCGCAACGAGCGCAACCCUUGUCUCAUGUUGCCAGCACGUAAUGGUGGGGACUCGUGAGAGACUGCCGGGGUCAACUCGGAGGAAGGUGGGGAUGACGUCAAGUCAUCAUGCCCCUUAUGUCCAGGGCUUCACACAUGCUACAAUGGCCGGUACAAAGGGCUGCGAUGCCGCAAGGUGGAGCGAAUCCUUUAAAGCCGGUCUCAGUUCGGAUCGGGGUCUGCAACUCGACCCCGUGAAGUCGGAGUCGCUAGUAAUCGCAGAUCAGCAACGCUGCGGUGAAUACGUUCCCGGGUCUUGUACACACACCG
RNAcentral lists this ribosomal RNA (436 nucleotides) under uncultured bacterium. RNAcentral describes it as "bacterial SSU rRNA". It matches the Rfam family "Bacterial small subunit ribosomal RNA", at positions 958 to 1394 of the family's 1533-position model. The record is from RNAcentral.